RNAcentral lists this ribosomal RNA (497 nucleotides) under uncultured bacterium. RNAcentral's name for it is "partial 16S ribosomal RNA". It matches the Rfam family "Bacterial small subunit ribosomal RNA", at positions 28 to 507 of the family's 1533-position model. The record is from RNAcentral.
GAUGAACGCUGGCGGCGUGCCUAAUACAUGCAAGUCGAGCGAACAGAUGAGGAGCUUGCUCCUCUGACGUUAGCGGCGGACGGGUGAGUAACACGUGGAUAACCUACCUAUAAGACUGGGAUAACUUCGGGAAACCGGAGCUAAUACCGGAGAAUAUAUUGAACCGCAGGGUUCAAUAGUGAAAGACGGCUUUGCGGGCAGUUAUAGAGGGAUCCGGGCCGCAUGAGCUAGUUGGGAAGGUAACGGCUUACCAAGGCAACGAUGCGUAGCCGAGCUGAGAGGGUGAUCGCCCACACUGGAACUGGGACGCGGUCCAGACUCCUACGGGAGGCACCAGUCGGGAAUCUUCCGCAAUAGGCGAAAGCCUGACGGAGCAACGCCGCGUGAGUGAUGAAGGUCUUCGGAUCGUAAAGCUCUGUUAUUAGGGAUGAACAAAUGUGUAAGUAACUAUGCCCGUCUUGACGGUACCUAAUCAGAAAGCCCCGGCUAACUACGUG